RNAcentral lists this ribosomal RNA (460 nucleotides) under uncultured Campylobacterota bacterium. Its description in RNAcentral is "bacterial LSU rRNA". It matches the Rfam family "Bacterial large subunit ribosomal RNA", at positions 1369 to 1807 of the family's 2925-position model. Lineage: Bacteria; Pseudomonadati; Campylobacterota. The record is from RNAcentral.
UCAUCGUAGGGUUAGUCGGGUCCUAAGCUGAGUCCGAAAGGGGUAAGCGAUGGAAAAUCGGUUAAUAUUCCGAUACCAACUAUAGAACGUGAUGGGAGGACGCAUAGGGCUAUGUGAGGUCACUGAUGGAAUAGUGGCUCGAAGGGUGUAGGCUGGGAGAGAAAGGAAAAUCCACUCUCCUAUAGCUGAGACCUGACAGGCUGUGGAGGCUUUUAGGAGCCAAAACAGAAUCACAGAUGCCGAAGUGCCAAGAAAAGUCUCUAAGCAUAUCUAUAGUUGCCCGUACCGUAAACCGACACAGGUGGGUGAGAUGAGAAUUCUAAGGCGCGUGGAAGAACCAUUGUUAAGGAACUCUGCAAACUAGCACCGUAUCUUCGGUAUAAGGUGUGCCUACUUAGGUGAAGCUCCUAGCGAGUGGAGCCUGAGAGGUUGCAACAAAGAGUCCCUCCCGACUGUUUAC